RNAcentral lists this transfer RNA (86 nucleotides) under Candidatus Galacturonatibacter soehngenii. Its description in RNAcentral is "Candidatus Galacturonibacter soehngenii tRNA". It matches the Rfam family "tRNA". From Rfam's summary of the family: Transfer RNA (tRNA) molecules are approximately 80 nucleotides in length. Their secondary structure includes four short double-helical elements and three loops (D, anti-codon, and T loops). Further hydrogen bonds mediate the characteristic L-shaped molecular structure. tRNAs have two regions of fundamental functional importance: the anti-codon, which is responsible for specific mRNA codon recognition, and the 3' end, to which the tRNAs corresponding amino acid is attached (by aminoacyl-tRNA synthetases). tRNAs cope with the degeneracy of the genetic code in two manners: having more than one tRNA (with a specific anti-codon) for a particular amino acid; and 'wobble' base-pairing, i.e. permitting non-standard base-pairing at the 3rd anti-codon position. Lineage: Bacteria; Bacillati; Bacillota; Clostridia; Lachnospirales; Lachnospiraceae. The record is from Rfam by way of RNAcentral.
GGAGAGUUGUCCGAGUGGUUUAUGGUGCUGCUCUCGAAAAGCAGUGUGCCUAAUAAGCACCGUGGGUUCGAAUCCCAUGCUCUCCG